GGCGUCCCAUCCGCGGCGCGACUGGAGGGGGCGUUGGUUGGGUGGGAGGAGAUGGAAAAGCCUAGGACAAUGCGGGGAGAUCCAUGUGUAUGACAUUUAUAAAACGCUCAUCAUCAGUAAGAUAAGAGGUACCUUGAAAACAUUUUUUGUUGCUGUUUUCCUCGAUACUAAAAGAUGUAAAUCCAAAAAGGACUCUUCAGCCGUAUUCAUAUCUCACCAUGGAAAGAGGCCUUUAGAGCCCUUGGUUACUGGGAGGAUAUAAGAAAAUUAUGAAGUGAUAGGAACUAUUUCUGUGGUUAUACAUUAAUAAUCCGAAAGAGUUUAACAACAAGGAAUCACUUUGUGUGUAACGUUGUAAAACACUCUCAGUGUGUUAACCACACGUGACCUCUGUAAGCAUAGAAAUGUCCAAACUUGUAGACAAUUUUUAGAAGACUUCAUCUGAGCCUAAUUGAUGACAUACGCCAGUUAGCAAGAUCUCAAAUACUCGGGAAGACUGCUGCUCUGGACAGAGGCCAUUUUUUACACCCGGCUCACCCAGAACUGUACUGAGAAUACAGCAAUGAAAACCAAAGACCUGACCAAAAGCAGACAUGCUGAAUCCUGUUAGAGUUAUAGGCUCUUUCAAUUUUACCCUCCUCCCAAAUUUUGUGAACAUUUUGCUCAUCUAGAGAACAGGUGAAAAAAAGUGGACAAGAAAGCAUUUCCCCACCCAGUGGAGAAGGAAGAGAAAAAAAGCAAAAGUGGAGUAGAAUGACACCUGACAGGUAUUGAACACUUCUCAAGCCAGGGACAGCAUGCGUUAUAUUGUUUCAUCCUCACAGCAACUCCACAAUAUCGGCACAACUAUAAUUCUUGUUUAACGAAUCGGGAAACUAUGGCACUGAAGGUUGAGGAACCUGUCCAAAGCCAAAUCUCUAGAAAGUGGUGACACUCCAGACCCUCCACUGUAUUGAGCCCCAUGCUAUUAUACACCCCCCUCCAUCCCCACUCCCCAAACGCCCUCAUUUCUUUCUGUACAUCACUACUGGGGAGCUUGUACAGAAGACCAGAAAAAAGUGAUGCAUCAAAAAGAGCCAAUCCAACUUUUCUUAAAUCCCACCUUCUUGAUCUUUGUUUAACAAAUGAUUCUUUCUCAUCUUCCCCCUGAAAAAGCCAUUCUGAACUCCUUUCGCCCAUUGCACAAUUAAGGCAGCUUGACCAGUAACAGGCCAUCACAAGUGAGGCCCUGAGUUCUCCCACUAGGAGCAAGUUAUGUGGGAUGAAAUGUGAAUAACAAUAGUCUUACCAUUUUAGACUCCUCACACGACAUCCAAUAGUUUUAAUCCCUAAUCUGUUGGUGGCCACCGCUCUAGUUACCUAAGGAAUGGGUGGUGGUGUACCACUAUAAACUACCUCAACUGGAAUUUUAGAAUUUUAGUGCACUUCACUAACACCUCCUGUUCAGGCCUACUUAGUUUUCAUCUCCAAAUACACAGCCACCCAAAUUCUAUGAGUGCCACACUACAGUGCUGGGGCGGACAUGGAGAUAGGCAGACUGAUUUCUUGUCAAGAAAGCACACUCUACCCAACAACAAGGAGUCUGAGUAAUCAGCAAACUCCAGCCUUUUUAUAAGGGUUUCCUUUAGCUUUCAACCUGAGGUCAUGCUAUUUUCCAGGUGGCACUUGGCCAUUUACUGAGCAGGUGAGGACACAGGUCUAGCCACUUUUGCCUGACACUGGACCCCAUUAAUGGGUAAUCUUUGCUUCAGAGGUCCCUGCUGAACUGGCAGAGACUUUGUCAGCUCUGCAGUAUAUUGUGACAGUUCUCCGUGCCCAAACCUUUCUGCUUUCACAGAUGUUAACCCCCACCCCCCCACCAAUAAAUCUCUUAAAUUUGUAACUUUAUUCCAGCAUCUGCUUCCUGGAGGACCCAACCUACAUAAGUUCCAAGAUGUAAAGUGAUAGAACAUUGGUAAUAUUAUCAAAAUUGUGUUAAAUGACUAUAACUUUUGUAGUAGCUCUUUUAUGUAUUGAUGUUUUAUCUCCAGAAUAACUCUCAGUACCUUCCACUGUUAUUAUUUUCUCGUGAGGACAUAAUGUAUCUAUACCCUCCCACUAAGGAUAACUUUGAUGUUGUUCUCUAGAGUGAUGUCAUCAGUUCAUAAAGUCCCCUUUGCUUGGGACAUACUUCUCAUUGGGAAUCCCUCCUACCUUCCUACAAGCAGUCAUUCCCUUCGGAUGUAAACUGAUUUCUUAUCUUCCUCCAUAUUCUCCUCUUCUAACCACAUGUGCUAAGCCACGUAUACAUACAUGCAGCAGGAUUCUUUGUUGAGAUUCUCAUUAGUUAAAAGCAUUAGAUGCCACUCCCUGCAGAUGGCUGUCCACAGAGGCCUAAAGCACAGGCAAAUGCUCCAUAUUUUCCUUCCUUUUUCAGUGAUUUUAAUUUCUUUAUUACUUCCUAUACAACA
Molecule: long non-coding RNA, 2450 nt
Organism: Artibeus jamaicensis (Jamaican fruit-eating bat)
Lineage: Eukaryota; Metazoa; Chordata; Mammalia; Chiroptera; Phyllostomidae
Exons: 3
Source: RefSeq, a predicted model, not a curated record